Molecule: ribosomal RNA, 657 nt
Filed under: uncultured marine eukaryote
Lineage: Eukaryota
Description: bacterial SSU rRNA
Rfam family: Eukaryotic small subunit ribosomal RNA
Source: RNAcentral
AAAAGCUCGUAGUUGGAUCAAGAGUCGGACAGUGCACGGUGGCCCUGUUUGCUUGCUUUGGCUCCGGUCAGGGUGGCGGCAGCGGAACUACCCCGUGCAUCAAACUGUCCGCUCUAACAGGCCGAAGCGGUUCCCUGUGAGUAGACUCCUUAAUUGGGGUUGAAAGCGCCUACGCAUCAACCACAUGCAUACGGGACGUCGGCCAAUGUUACUGUGAACAAACCAGCGUGUCCAAAGCAGGCUUGCCUGAAUGUUCGAGCAUGGAAUAAUAAGGGAUCGAUUCUCUCGGUUCUUUUUGUUGGUUUUUAACCCGAGAAGGAGUAAUGCAGGCCACGGUGUCUGAGGUGGGAUUCCCUAGGCUUCGGUUUAGGCCCCAUCUAGGCCGUGUCCUUACGGGAUCAAUAGGGACUGACGGGGUCGUACCUACUUCCGCGUCAGAGGUGAAAUUCUUAGAUCGCGGGAAGAGGAACUUCUGCGAAAGCAUUCGACAAGAAUGUCUUCAUUAAUCAAGAACGAGAGUGUGGGGAUCGAAGAUGAUCAGAUACCGUCGUAGUCCACACUGUAAACAAUGCCGUCUCAGGAUUGAGAAGUGAACAUAAUGACUUUCACAGCACUAACCCCUGAAACGAGAAAUCAAAGAUUAUGGGUUCAGGGGGG